CAGGACGAACGCUGGCGGCGUGCUUAACACAUGCAAGUCGAGCGGAAAGGCCACUUCGGUGGUACUCGAGCGGCGAACGGGUGAGUAACACGUGAGUAAUCUGCCCUCCACUUUGGGAUAGCCACCGGAAACGGUGAUUAAUACCGGAUAUGACCAUUUCUCGCAUGGGUUUUGGUGGAAAGUUUUUCGGUGGGGGAUGUGCUCGCGGCCUAUCAGCUUGAUGGUGGGGUAAUGGCCUACCAUGGCUUCGACGGGUAGCCGGCCUGAGAGGGUGACCGGCCACACUGGGACUGAGACACGGCCCAGACUCCUACGGGAGGCAGCAGUGGGGAAUAUUGGACAAUGGGCGGAAGCCUGAUCCAGCAACGCCGCGUGAGGGAUGACUGCCUUCGGGUUGUAAACCUCUUUCAGCACAGACGAAGCGAAAGUGACG
RNAcentral lists this ribosomal RNA (433 nucleotides) under uncultured bacterium. RNAcentral describes it as "bacterial SSU rRNA". It matches the Rfam family "Bacterial small subunit ribosomal RNA", at positions 25 to 474 of the family's 1533-position model. The record is from RNAcentral.